This 467-nucleotide ribosomal RNA is filed under the name uncultured bacterium. RNAcentral describes it as "partial 16S ribosomal RNA". It matches the Rfam family "Bacterial small subunit ribosomal RNA", at positions 28 to 507 of the family's 1533-position model. The record is from RNAcentral.
GACGAACGCUGGCGGCGUGCUUAACACAUGCAAGUCGAACGGAAAGGCCCUGCUUUUGUGGGGUCUCGAGUGGCGAACGGGGUAGUAAAACCUGGGUUACCUGCCCUUGGCUUUGGGGUAACUUCAGGAAACCGGGGCCAAUACCGGGUAAGAGCUCCUGCUGCCUGGUGGGGGGUGGGAAGUUUCGGCGGUUGGGGAUGGACUCGCGGCUUAUCAGCUUGUUGGUGGGGUAGUGGCUUACCAAGGCUUUGACGGGUAGCCGGCCUGAGAGGGUGACCGGCCACAUUGGGACUGAGAUACGGCCCAGACUCCUACGGGAGGCAGCAGUGGGGAAUAUUGCACAAUGGGCGGAAGCCUGAUGCAGCAACGCCGCGUGCGGGAUGACGGCCUUCGGGUUGUAAACCGCUUUCGCCUGUGACGAAGCGUGAGUGACGGUAAUGGGUAAAGAAGCACCGGCUAACUACGUG